Molecule: ribosomal RNA, 469 nt
Filed under: uncultured bacterium
Lineage: Bacteria
Description: bacterial SSU rRNA
Rfam family: Bacterial small subunit ribosomal RNA
Source: RNAcentral
CGCUGGCGGCAGGCCUAACACAUGCAAGUCGAGCGGAUGAGAGGAGCUUGCUCCUGGAUUCAGCGGCGGACGGGUGAGUAAUGCCUAGGAAUCUGCCUGGUAGUGGGGGACAACGUUUCGAAAGGAACGCUAAUACCGCAUACGUCCUACGGGAGAAAGCAGGGGACCUUCGGGCCUUGCGCUAUCAGAUGAGCCUAGGUCGGAUUAGCUAGUUGGUGAGGUAAUGGCUCACCAAGGCGACGAUCCGUAACUGGUCUGAGAGGAUGAUCAGUCACACUGGAACUGAGACACGGUCCAGACUCCUACGGGAGGCAGCAGUGGGGAAUAUUGGACAAUGGGCGAAAGCCUGAUCCAGCCAUGCCGCGUGUGUGAAGAAGGUCUUCGGAUUGUAAAGCACUUUAAGUUGGGAGGAAGGGCAGUAAAUUAAUACUUUGCUGUUUUGACGUUACCGACAGAAUAAGCACCGGCU